UUACAUCGAUAGAGACAUAAGUCCAUAAAAAAAAAACCGGUCGCCGAGGGCAAUGUCACACACGUCUACCGACAUGCUUUAGACUUUGUGAUUUAAAGCGACGAAAGGAAUUUCAGAAAUGUAUUCGUAUACGAAAGUAUACCGAAGCAUAUUCUUCGAACAUCGAUACAGUGAAAUUUAUGUCUAAUCUGUGCCGGAUUUUUUUUUCCUUCAGUCUCCGCACACGUGCACUCUUAUCUGAACUUAUCCAUCCUGAUAGCUGUAAACCGCGAAUCGCUGGAUGACGGCAGCUUUCUCGUAUUACAAUUAGCGAAAAUGUGCCAUCGCAAAGUGAUCGCAAAUCAAUAGCGCGACAUUUGUCGGUUUAUUUCGAGCGGGAGCUUCUAUCAGGUAUAGAAUUUCUAACUCGGCCGCAAAGAUAUGCGGCGUAGAGAGUUGCGAUGACUAUUCACGAUAUCUCGGCCAAGAAAAAUCCUAUCGGAAAGAGAUGCGACUGAAAUAAUAUAUCCGGGCAAUUCGGGGACACGCUGUAUAAAUCAUAAUAUGAUAAGAAAAAUGCGAAUGCAUUGCAGUCUCCCGCAAGGACAGGCCGGGUAUGCGAUGAAAACGCGAAAUUACCACUUUAGCGCGGGCUGCGAUUGAAGGGUCGGACGUGACGCGUCAACAGCCGUGAGAUAACUCGAUCGUUGCGUACAAAACUUUAUUUCCUGCGUCCUUCUAUAUAUGAAUAUUAUAGAAUACUAUUAUAAAAAUUUAUAAAAAAA
Molecule: long non-coding RNA, 764 nt
Organism: Wasmannia auropunctata (little fire ant)
Lineage: Eukaryota; Metazoa; Arthropoda; Insecta; Hymenoptera; Formicidae
Exons: 3
Source: RefSeq, a predicted model, not a curated record